RNAcentral lists this ribosomal RNA (372 nucleotides) under uncultured bacterium. Its description in RNAcentral is "bacterial SSU rRNA". It matches the Rfam family "Bacterial small subunit ribosomal RNA", at positions 524 to 898 of the family's 1533-position model. The record is from RNAcentral.
GACGAAGGAUGCAAGCGUUAUCCGGAUUCAUUGGGUUUAAAGGGAGCGUAGGCGGUUUAGUAAGUCAGUGGUGAAAGCCGGUCGCUUAACGAUCGAACUGCCAUUGAUACUGCUGAACUUGAGUACAGAUGCUGUGGGCGGAAUAUGACAUGUAGUGGUGAAAUACUUAGAGAUGUCAUAGAACACCGAUUGCGAAGGCAGCUCACAAAACUGUAACUGACGCUGAGGCUCGAAAGUGUGGGGAUCAAACAGGAUUAGAUACCCUGGUAGUCCACACUGUAAACGAUGAUUACUCGCUGUUGGGUAGCAAUACUCAGUGGCUAAGCGAAAGCGAUAAGUAAUCCACCUGGGGAGUACGCCGGCAACGGUGAA